RNAcentral lists this ribosomal RNA (519 nucleotides) under uncultured eukaryote. RNAcentral's name for it is "bacterial SSU rRNA". It matches the Rfam family "Eukaryotic small subunit ribosomal RNA", at positions 1161 to 1704 of the family's 1831-position model. The record is from RNAcentral.
AGGGCACCACCAGGAGUGGAGCCUGCGGCUUAAUUUGACUCAACACGGGAAAACUCACCCGGCCCGGACACCGGAAGGAUUGACAGAUUGAGAGCUCUUUCUUGAUUCAGUGGGUGGUGGUGCAUGGCCGUUCUUAGUUGGUGGAGCGAUUUGUCUGGUUAAUUCCGAUAACGAACGAGACUCUAGCCUACUAAAUAGAUCGCCGGCUUACCCACGCCGGCGAGACUUCUUAGAGGGACAGGUGGCGUUUCAGCCACACGAAACAGAGCAAUAACAGGUCUGUGAUGCCCUUAGAUGUCCGGGGCCGCACGCGCGCUACACUGAAGGAAUCAGCGUGUGUACCCUGUCCGAAAGGACUGGGAAACCCGUUGAACCUCCUACGUGAUGGGGAUUGGGGAUUGAAAUUAUUCCCCAUGAACGAGGAAUUCCCAGUAGGCGCGAGUCAUAAGCUUGCGUCGAUUACGUCCCUGCCCUUUGUACACACCGCCCGUCGCUACUACCGAUCGAGUGAUUUAGUGA